UGAGUCAACAUCUGUAGCACAGAUAAGUAAACUCAGGGUUGGGCAGGUCUAUGCUGCGUCGGUGAUGUAUGGAUACUUCCUGAGGCGGGUUGACCAGCGAUUUCAGCUUGAGAGGACAAUGAAAGUCCUUCCAAGUGCUUCAGAUGAUGACAAAAGUAGCAUUGAGCAAACUGUGGGGGAUGACACAAGACCUUCUGGUCUAGGGGACUCCUAUCAAGCUGCUUCAUCACACCCUGAAGUCU
RNAcentral lists this long non-coding RNA (242 nucleotides) under Gossypium barbadense (sea-island cotton). Its description in RNAcentral is "long non-coding RNA (GBAR_LNC014259)". The record is from RNAcentral. Lineage: Eukaryota; Viridiplantae; Streptophyta; Magnoliopsida; Malvales; Malvaceae.